Triticum aestivum (bread wheat) is the source of this 125-nucleotide non-coding RNA. Lineage: Eukaryota; Viridiplantae; Streptophyta; Magnoliopsida; Poales; Poaceae. The record is from Rfam.
UUUGUACUCCAUCCGUCCAGAAAUACUUGUCAAAAAAAUGGAUAAAAAUGAAUGUAUCUAGAACUAAAAUAGGUCUAGAUACAUACAUUUCUCCGACAAGUAUUUCCGGACGGAGGGAGUAUCUA